GACGAACGCUGGCGGCGUGCCUAAUACAUGCAAGUCGAACGCUUCUUUCCUCCCGAGUGCUUGCACUCAAUUGGAAAGAGGAGUGGCGGACGGGUGAGUAACACGUGGGUAACCUACCCAUCAGAGGGGGAUAACACUUGGAAACAGGUGCUAAUACCGCAUAACAGUUUAUGCCGCAUGGCAUAAGAGUGAAAGGCGCUUUCGGGUGUCGCUGAUGGAUGGACCCGCGGUGCAUUAGCUAGUUGGUGAGGCAACGGCUCACCAAGGCCACGAUGCAUAGCCGACCUGAGAGGGUGAUCGGCCACACUGGGACUGAGACACGGCCCAGACUCCUACGGGAGGCAGCAGUAGGGAAUCUUCGGCAAUGGACGAAAGUCUGACCGAGCAACGCCGCGUGAGUGAAGAAGGUUUUCGGAUCGUAAAACUCUGUUGUUAGAGAAGAACAAGGACGUUAGUAACUGAACGUCCCCUGACGGUAUCUAACCAGAAAGCCACGGCUAACUACGUG
Molecule: ribosomal RNA, 508 nt
Filed under: uncultured bacterium
Lineage: Bacteria
Description: partial 16S ribosomal RNA
Rfam family: Bacterial small subunit ribosomal RNA
Source: RNAcentral